RNAcentral lists this small RNA (6850 nucleotides) under Pan troglodytes (chimpanzee). RNAcentral's name for it is "retained intron". Lineage: Eukaryota; Metazoa; Chordata; Mammalia; Primates; Hominidae. The record is from RNAcentral.
GACCCGGGCCUCGCGGGGAGGUUGUCGGAAGCACUUCCCUAACUUGCGCCUGGGUGGGAGGAAUGCUCCGCUCUUUUGUUCCCAGGAAGGGAAAAACGGGGCGGAGGUUCCUGCUGCCAUGUUGUGGCCCUGGUCUUCCGCCUGCAAGUGCUAGUCCCGUACACCCGGCCCCCUCUCGCGCGUCUUUCCACGAGCUCUCCACGGGGAGGAGGCGAAAGGGUGGACAGGGGAAAACUGCUGAAGAGCUUUCGGAGAGACCUCAUCUAGUCGCUGGCCUCGUCAAGGCAGUAAAAAUUCCUAGGGCAGACAUUUUCCACGUGAUGUUGCUCGUGUCUGUAGUUAGACUUUUCUAUUGAUCUCAGUGCUCAGUUUUAAAGAUAGUAGAAUGUGGCUUUUUCAAAAGAUUCGUUCUGAGCCGUUUAAAAUGCUCUUGUGUUCUACGAAGUCUCUUUGCAUCCUUGAACAUCGGGGAAUUUCCAGGUGGCUAAACAAAAUGUAAUUGUCAGUGUUUUGAGUACAUUUUAGGUUAGUCUUACAGAUCUGCAAUGCAGUGACAGUGCCAGGAUCUGAAAUACGUUGUAAUUGAAUGAAGGCUUAUAGAUCUGUAUGUUAGCAGUGUCUAAUUUUGGUGCUCUUUCUCGUUCCAGGUAUUUCAUUUCUCCUGUCCCCUCCCCUCCCCACCCCAUCUAUUAAUAUUAUUCUUUUGAAGAUUCUUCGUUGUCAAGCCGCCAAAGUGGAGAGUGCGAUUGCAGAAGGGGGUGCUUCUCGUUUCAGGUACUUGUAGAUUUAUUUGGGGGAAUCCUUUUGAAAAGGCCAGUCUCAAAAAGUAGUUACCACAGCAAAUAAGUCCGACUUAAUGGGCUGCAAUUUUCAUUUGAAAAGUUCUUAAGUUUUCUUUGACAGCCUUCUAAGAACUGCCAUCUGAAGAAUAAAUAAAAUCAAUUAUUUGCCUUUCCUUUGGGUCCGAGUUCAGUCUUCAUUUGUAGCAUAAUAUACAAGCACUAAAAUACAGGCCUGGCUCCAGUCUGGGCAAAAUAGCGAGACCCCCAUCUCUACAAGCAAAGCAAAACACAAAAUAGAUGCUUUAUUCUUUUUGAGUGAGACAUAGUUGGGAUACAGUAAACAAUUUUUUUCUUUUAAAUAGUGCUUCUUCGGGCGGAGGAGGAAGUAGGGGUGCACCUCAGCACUAUCCCAAGACUGCUGGCAACAGGUGUGGUAAACAUGUAAAAAAACAGUGAGCUUUAUUUAACAGAUUAAAAGUCUUUCCCAUGUGACGGUAUAAUUAAGGCAAUAGCCAUCAAGACUCCUAAUCUUAGGGGGCGUGGUUUCUGUUGGGUAUCCUAAAUACAGAAUAUCAGCUCCUGAUUAUUCCUUAGCCAAAUUUUCUAAGUGAGUUGAGACUCUCAAACUGUUAUUUUUUUCCUUAUUCUUUGGGUUAUUUUUACUAAUGUUUUUUUCUGAAAUUAGUAGCUAUUAUUCCUACUGAUUGUUAUUAGUAAAGUAGUACGCACUCAACAUGGUCAAUAAAACAUUAGAAAGUGUUAAUUGGCAGCCGGUACAGUGGCUCACACCUGUAAUCCCAACAACAACUUUGGGAGGCAAAGGUGGGAGGGUCGCUUGAACCCAGGAGUUUGAGAUCAGCCUGGGCAAGACAGCAAGACCCCAUCUCUUAAAAAAAAAGUUAAUUUUCAAAAUGUGGUUCCACAGCGUUGAUACUGGGAAUAUUUACUAGACAUGCAAAUUCUUAGGCCCCACCCCAAACCAGUGAAAGCAGAAACUGGGUGGGCCCAGCAAUCUGUUUUAACAAGCCCUUCAGGUGAUUCUGAUGCACACUACUGUUCCAGAAGCACUAAUCUCCAGAGUUGGCUUUCUUGGAGGGGAAGUCGAGAAAGCCUAAAUUACUUUUUUCUAUGUAAGAGAAUUUAUGAUGUUUAACAUUUGGUGUGUGACAAUAAGUGUUUUUGCUGAUUUUUAUUAAUCAGCGAGUUCCUGGGGAAAACCCCAGGGCAAAACGCUCAGAAAUGGAUUCCUGCACGAAGCACUAGACGAGAUGACAACUCCGCAGCAAACAACUCCGCAAACGAAAAAGAACGACAUGAUGCAAUCUUCAGGAAAGUAAGAGGCAUACUAAAUAAGCUUACUCCUGAAAAGUUUGACAAGCUAUGCCUUGAGCUCCUCAAUGUGGGUGUAGAGUCUAAACUCAUCCUUAAAGGGGUCAUACUGCUGGUAAGUUUUAAAUAUUGGCUUAACUCAAAAGGGAGAGGGAACUGUUUAACAAACUCAAGUUGUGUUUUUUUACACUUGGAUUACUACUUAAAACCCUUAGGUGUGAGUUAGAUAGGUAUGUAUUUUUGAAUACUGAUGGUGAUUAAAAAGAACCACUGACUUUAGUUAGUAGCAUUAGAUUGAAGAGGUAAAUGUUAAGUUCAUGGUAUGGUUGAAGAGGUAAAUGGGAGUGCUUAGCAAGCUGUUCUUUUUCUUUUGUGGAAAACACCAAAUAUAUUUAGGUCCUGGAAAUGCAUUGUAUGACAGUUUAUGUAGACUUGAAAGUUUUGAUAUCCAUGGCAUUUUCUGACUCCCAGGAGAUGGAUGUGACUAGAUGAAAUCUGUAUAACUGGACAUUUUUGGUAGACUGUAAUAGCUAACAUUUAGGUGGUUGUAUUUUUCCUAAAGGAAGGGUUCUUGGAGAAGUUUUCAUAUUUAGUUUAAGCAAUGACAUUUUCUGUAGAUUGUGGACAAAGCCCUAGAAGAGCCAAAGUAUAGCUCACUGUAUGCUCAGCUAUGUCUGCGAUUGGCAGAAGAUGCACCAAACUUUGAUGGCCCAGCAGCAGAGGGUCAACCAGGACAGAAGCAAAGCACCACAUUCAGACGCCUCCUGAUUUCCAAAUUACAAGAUGAAUUUGAAAACCGAACUAGAAAUGUUGAUGUCUAUGAUAAGCGUGAAAAUCCCCUCCUCCCCGAGGAGGAGGAACAGAGAGCCAUUGCUAAGAUCAAGAUGUUGGGAAACAUCAAAUUCAUUGGAGAGCUUGGCAAGCUUGAUCUUAUUCACGAAUCUAUCCUUCAUAAGUGCAUCAAAACAGUAAGUGUGACAGGGAAGUUAGGCGAAUGUUGUCGGUCAUUUGGAGGAAAUGAGUCAAUUAUUCAUCUAAGAGGGAGGUUGACUAGUUAAAUACAGAUGGGCAACAAAAUUUACUAAACAGAAUAAUUUGAAAUACGUGGUGUGUUUGACAAAGUAGGGUUAGAACUGAUCAACCAGACUGGUAGCCCUAUACUAGAUUCUGUAGGAACUGUGAAUGAGUCACUGCAAACAUAAAGGGAAAGAAAGUACUACACCUAAACCAGAGUAACUAAAACUUUGUCACCAUGGCCUUUUAUUCUUGUAGCUUUUGGAAAAGAAGAAGAGAGUCCAACUCAAAGAUAUGGGAGAGGAUUUGGAGUGCCUCUGUCAGAUAAUGAGGACAGUGGGACCUAGAUUAGACCAUGAACGAGCCAAGUCCUUAAUGGAUCAGUACUUUGCCCGAAUGUGCUCCUUGAUGUUAAGUAAGGAAUUGCCAGCAAGGAUUCGUUUCCUGCUGCAGGAUACCGUAGAGUUGCGAGAACACCAUUGGGUUCCUCGCAAGGCUUUUCUUGACAAUGGACCAAAGACGAUCAAUCAAAUCCGUCAAGAUGCAGUAAAAGAUCUAGGGGUGUUUAUUCCUGCUCCUAUGGCUCAAGGGAUGAGAAGUGACUUCUUUCUGGAGGGACCGUUCAUGCCACCCAGGAUGAAAAUGGAUAGGGACCCACUUGGAGGACUUGCUGAUAUGUUUGGACAAAUGCCAGGUAGCGGAAUUGGUACUGGUCCAGGAGUUAUCCAGGAUAGAUUUUCACCCACCAUGGGACGUCAUCGUUCAAAUCAACUCUUCAAUGGCCAUGGGGGACACAUCAUGCCUCCCACACAAUCGCAGUUUGGAGAGAUGGGAGGCAAGUUUAUGAAAAGCCAGGUAAGUAAUAUUUGAGUGUUUAGGCAACAAAUGUUAAAUUUUGCAAUAUAUGUGAUUUCAUUUGCUAGUAAAACAUGAAACUAUUUUAGGAGUGUGCAUGUUUUCUAAACCUUAUCUGCAACAUUUAUUUCAAACUGGAAUGUUUAUCCUUAAGAUUAGUAAAGUAUUAGUAAAAUCACAUCACUUUAUUUGACAGGUUAGAUUUUUAUUCUUCCCUGUUUCAUCUUUUACUUUUUCUGGGCAAAUUCAGUUAAACUAACUUUAUGGCUUGGCUCAUCCCUUUGGUACUUGAUUACCAUAAUUUGUGGACCCCUUUUUAUCUAGACUUUCUUUCUCCUUUUCUGAAAUAGGGGCUAAGCCAGCUCUACCAUAACCAGAGUCAGGGACUCUUAUCCCAGCUGCAAGGACAGUCGAAGGAUAUGCCACCUCGGUUUUCUAAGAAAGGACAGCUUAAUGCAGAUGAGAUUAGCCUGAGGCCUGCUCAGUCGUUCCUAAUGAAUAAAAAUCAAGUGCCAAAGCUUCAGCCCCAGAUAACUAUGAUUCCUCCUAGUGCACAACCACCACGCACUCAAACACCACCUCUGGGACAGACACCUCAGCUUGGUCUCAAAACUAAUCCACCACUUAUCCAGGAAAAGCCUGCCAAGACCAGCAAAAAGCCACCACCGUCAAAGGAAGAACUCCUUAAACUAACUGAAACUGUUGUGACUGAAUAUCUAAAUAGUGGAAAUGCAAAUGAGGCUGUCAGUGGUGUAAGAGAAAUGAGGGCUCCUAAACACUUUCUUCCUGAGAUGUUAAGCAAAGUAAUCAUCCUGUCACUAGAUAGAAGCGAUGAAGAUAAAGAAAAAGCAAGUUCUUUGAUCAGUUUACUCAAACAGGAAGGGAUAGCCACAAGUGACAACUUCAUGCAGGCUUUCCUGAAUGUAUUGGACCAGUGUCCCAAACUGGAGGUUGACAUCCCUUUGGUGAAAUCCUAUUUAGCACAGUUUGCAGCUCGUGCCAUCAUUUCAGAGCUGGUGAGCAUUUCAGAACUAGCUCAACCACUAGAAAGUGGCACCCAUUUUCCUCUCUUCCUACUUUGUCUUCAGCAGUUAGCUAAAUUACAAGAUCGAGAAUGGUUAACAGAACUUUUUCAACAAAGCAAGGUCAAUAUGCAGAAAAUGCUGCCAGGUAAGAGAAUGCUGACUUGUUUGUUUUGUGUUUUUAAUAUUAUAUCUAGAGAUUUCAGGUACCUUGAGUGGAUUUAUGUAGGUCAGACAGUCUGAUUGUCCUGCUCAGAUAAUGAUAAACAUUACCACAGAUCUCACCUAUAAAAAGAGAUUUAUAAUUUAACUACUUUCAUUUGAUCCGUAUGUUGAGUUUUUUUCAUUUGCUGGGUUGGUUCUCUAUUCUGCUGCAUGGAUCUUACAUACUUGGGGACAUCAUUUGUGAAGCUCUGCUCUCUGGACAGGACAACUUGGUAAAAUGAACUAUUAGAUGAUGCAGGUGGCUUUGUCUCUUCAGAAAUUGAUCAGAAUAAGGACCGCAUGUUGGAGAUUUUGGAAGGAAAGGGACUGAGUUUCUUAUUCCCACUCCUCAAAUUGGAGAAGGAACUGUUGAAGCAAAUAAAGUUGGAUCCAUCCCCUCAAACCAUAUAUAAAUGGAUUAAAGAUAACAUCUCUCCCAAACUUCAUGUAGAUAAAGGAUUUGUGAACAUCUUAAUGACUAGCUUCUUACAGUACAUUUCUAGUGAAGUAAACCCCCCCAGCGAUGAAACAGAUUCAUCCUCUGCUCCUUCCAAAGAACAGUUAGAGCAGGAAAAACAACUACUACUUUCUUUCAAGCCAGUAAUGCAGAAAUUUCUUCAUGAUCACGUUGAUCUACAAGUCAGUGCCCUGUAUGCUCUUCAGGUGCACUGCUAUAACAGCAACUUCCCAAAAGGCAUGUUACUUCGCUUUUUUGUGCACUUCUAUGACAUGGAAAUUAUUGAAGAAGAAGCUUUCUUGGCUUGGAAAGAAGAUAUAACCCAAGAGUUUCCGGGAAAAGGCAAGGCUUUGUUCCAGGUGAAUCAGUGGCUAACCUGGUUAGAAACUGCUGAAGAAGAAGAAUCAGAGGAAGAAGCUGACUAAAGAACCAGCCAAAGCCUUAAAUUGUGCAAAACAUACUGUUGCUAUGAUGUAACUGCAUUUGACCUAACCACUGCGAAAAUUCAUUCCGCUGUAAUGUUUUCACAAUAUUUAAAGCAGAAGCACGUCAGUUAGGAUUUCCUUCUGCAUAAGGUUUUUUUGUAGUGUAAUGUCUUAAUCAUAGUCUACCAUCAAAUAUUUUAGGAGUAUCUUUAAUGUUUAGAUAGUAUAUUAGCAGCAUGCAAUAAUUACAUCAUAAGUUCUCAAGCAGAGGCAGUCUAUUGCAAGGACCUUCUUUGCUGCCAGUUAUCAUAGGCUGUUUUAAGUUAGAAAACUGAAUAGCAACACUGAAUACUGUAGAAAUGCACUUUGCUCAGUAAUACUUGAGUUGUUGCAAUAUUUGAUUAUCCAUUUGGUUGUUACAGAAAAAUUCUUAACUGUAAUUGAUGGUUGUUGCCGUAAUAGUAUAUUGCCUGUAUUUCUACCUCUAGUAAUGGGCUUUAUGUGCUAGAUUUUAAUAUCCUUGAGCCUGGGCAAGUGCACAAGUCUUUUUAAAAGAAACAUGGUUUACUUGCACAAAACUGAUCAGUUUUGAGAGAUCGUUAAUGCCCUUGAAGUGGUUUUUGUGGGUGUGAAACAAAUGGUGAGAAUUUGAAUUGGUCCCUCCUAUUAUAGUAUUGAAAUUAAGUCUACUUAAUUUAUCAAGUCAUGUUCAUGCCCUGAUUUUAUAUACUUGUAUCUAUCAAUAAACAUUGUGAUACUUGA